AUACGGAGGAUCCGAGCGUUAUCCGGAUUUAUUGGGUUUAAAGGGAGCGUAGGCGGAUUAUUAAGUCAGUUGUGAAAGUUUGCGGCUCAACCGUAAAAUUGCAGUUGAUACUGGUAGUCUUGAGUGCAGCAGAGGUAGGCGGAAUUCGUGGUGUAGCGGUGAAAUGCUUAGAUAUCACGAAGAACUCCGAUUGCGAAGGCAGCUUACUGGACUGUAACUGACGCUGAUACUCGAAAGUGUGGGUAUCAAACAGGAUUAGAUACCCUGGUAGUCCACACAGUAAACGAUGAAUACUCGCUGUUUGCGAUAUACAGCAAGCGGCCAAGCGAAAGCAUUAAGUAUUCCACCUGGGGAGUACGCCGGCAACGGUGAAACUCAAAGGAAUUGACGGG
RNAcentral lists this ribosomal RNA (392 nucleotides) under uncultured bacterium. RNAcentral describes it as "partial 16S ribosomal RNA". It matches the Rfam family "Bacterial small subunit ribosomal RNA", at positions 523 to 917 of the family's 1533-position model. The record is from RNAcentral.